UCUUCUUUUCCUCUUCUGUUUUCAGAGAAUUAACUAGGCUUCAAAAUGAAAGUGAGGAAGAAGAGUCCUGGAAAGUAUUAAUUUGAACAGGAAUUAUUGAUGGAUGGGAGCUCAUCAAUUUGAAGAGGUAUACAUGCAGGAAGAUUUGGAGCUUUCAUGAUUGAGGACUGCUAAAAUAAAGUGGCCAUGAAAAAGACAAAUCGAGUCUUGGGAUGCAUCAGACAGAGGAAAUCCAAGAGAGAAAU
Non-coding RNA from Meleagris gallopavo (turkey), 245 nucleotides. NCBI's taxonomy places the organism in Eukaryota, Metazoa, Chordata, Aves, Galliformes, Phasianidae. The record is from RefSeq and is a predicted model, not a curated record.